UUGGAGGGCAAGUCUGGUGCCAGCAGCCGCGGUAAUUCCAGCUCCAAUAGCGUAUAUUAAAGUUGUUGCAGUUAAAAAGCUCGUAGUUGAAUUUCGGGGUUAGUAGGCUGGUCGUGCCACAGGUAUGCACUGGUCUUACUGAUUCCUCCUUCCUGAUGAACCGUAAUGCCAUUAAUUUGGUGUUGCGGGGAGUCUGGACUGUUACUUUGAAAAAAUUAGAGUGUUUAAAGCAAGCUAACGCUUGAAUACAUUAGCAUGGAAUAACGAAAUAGGACGUUCGAUCCUAUUUUGUUGGUUUCUAGGAUUGACGUAAUAAUUAAUAGGGAUAGUUGGGGGCAUUAGUAUUCAAUUGUCAGAGGUGAAAUUCUUGGAUUUAUUGAAGACUAACUACUGCGAAAGCAUUUGCCAAGGAUGUUUUCAUUAAUCCAGAACGAAAGUUAAGGGAUCGAAGACGAUCAGAUACCGUUGUAGUCUUAACCAUAAACUAUGCCGACUAGGGAUCGGAUGAUGUUAAUUUUUUAAUGACUCAUUCGGCGCCUUACGGGAAAC
Molecule: ribosomal RNA, 549 nt
Filed under: uncultured Glomus
Lineage: Eukaryota; Fungi; Glomeromycota; Glomeromycetes; Glomerales; Glomeraceae
Description: SSU rRNA
Rfam family: Eukaryotic small subunit ribosomal RNA
Source: RNAcentral